GACGAACGCUGGCGGCGUGCUUAACACAUGCAAGUCGAACGGAAAGGCCCUGCUUUUGUGGGGUGCUCGAGUGGCGAACGGGUGAGUAACACGUGAGUAACCUGCCCUUGACUUUGGGAUAACUUCAGGAAACUGGGGCUAAUACCGGAUAGGAGCUCCUGCUGCAUGGUGGGGGUUGGAAAGUUUCGGCGGUUGGGGAUGGACUCGCGGCUUAUCAGCUUGUUGGUGGGGUAGUGGCUUACCAAGGCUUUGACGGGUAGCCGGCCUGAGAGGGUGACCGGCCACAUGGGGACUGAGAUACGGCCCAGACUCCUACGGGAGGCAGCAGUGGGGAAUAUUGCACAAUGGGCGGAAGCCUGAUGCAGCAACGCCGCGUGCGGGAUGACGGCCUUCGGGUUGUAAACCGCCUUCGCCUGGGACGAAGCGUGAGUGACGGUAAUGGGUAAAGAAGCACCGGCUAACUACGUG
RNAcentral lists this ribosomal RNA (468 nucleotides) under uncultured bacterium. RNAcentral describes it as "partial 16S ribosomal RNA". It matches the Rfam family "Bacterial small subunit ribosomal RNA", at positions 28 to 507 of the family's 1533-position model. The record is from RNAcentral.